UGAGAUCGAAAGGUCAGUGAUGGUUUUGACUCCGAUUGGACCUGUUCUGAGCCUUUUUUUUCACGAUCUAUGACCGUUUCUCCUCUCUUAAACGGCUCAAUUGAUUGUUGAACAAUUUUUGAAGAUUUUCCGGUGAGUUUUCAACCUUUAGGGUUUCUGGUGGUCAAAUCGGUCGUUUGACUGCUAUCCAGUGGUUUGAUACUCAUUUUUGCGGAUGUUUUGGGUGUUAUCGUUACUGCUCCGACAUCGUU
This 251-nucleotide long non-coding RNA is filed under the name Nicotiana benthamiana. RNAcentral describes it as "long non-coding RNA (NBEN_LNC001464)". The record is from RNAcentral. Lineage: Eukaryota; Viridiplantae; Streptophyta; Magnoliopsida; Solanales; Solanaceae.